RNAcentral lists this ribosomal RNA (580 nucleotides) under uncultured Microgenomates group bacterium. RNAcentral describes it as "bacterial SSU rRNA". It matches the Rfam family "Bacterial small subunit ribosomal RNA", at positions 318 to 916 of the family's 1533-position model. The record is from RNAcentral.
ACNGCGGUCGACGAUUCCUACGGGAGGCAGCAGUGGGGAAUAUUGGACAAUGGGCGAAAGCCUGAUCCAGUGAUAUCGCUUUAGGGAUGACAGCGACAUACGUUGUAAACCUAAUGGAAUAUGUUUAGAUUAUGACCGUACAUAUUUUAGAAGUCCCGGCUAAUCUCGUGCCAGCAGCCGCGGUAAUACGAGAGGGGCGAGCGUUAUUCAAAAUGAUUGGGCGUAAAGCGCACGUAGGUGGUGAUAUGUAUCCAUAAAUAUUCAGGCUACAAGUCUUGUCGGUAUUUAUGACGUAUAUGUAUCGCUUGAGGGUGUGAGAGGAGCAUGGAAUUCCCUAGGAAGCGGUAGAAUGUGUUGAUCUAGGGAGGAACACCAAUAGCGAAAGCAGUGCUCUGGCACAUUCCUGACAUUGAGGUGCGAAAGCGUGGGGAUCAAAAGGGAUUAGAUACCCCUGUAGUCCACGCUGUCAACGAUGACCAUUCCCUGUAUUUUGAGUAUUUCAAGGUGUAGGUUAGCUAACGCGGUAAAUGGUCCGCCUGAGGAGUACGGUCGCAAGACUAAAACUCAAAGGAAUUGACGG